Molecule: ribosomal RNA, 985 nt
Filed under: Euglena carterae
Lineage: Eukaryota; Euglenozoa; Euglenophyceae; Euglenales; Euglenaceae
Description: partial large subunit ribosomal RNA
Rfam family: Eukaryotic large subunit ribosomal RNA
Source: RNAcentral
AGAGAUUCAGCCAAGCGCGGGUCAACGGCGGGAGUAACUAUGACUCUCUUGAGGUAGCCAAAUGCCUCGUCAACCAAUUAUUGACGCGCAUGAAUGGAUCAAUGAGAUUCCUGCUGUCCCUGGUUGCUGUCUGGUGAACCAACAGCCAAGGGAACGGGCUUGGAAGUGUCAGUGGGGAAAGAAGACCCUGUUGAGUUUGACUCUAGUUUGCUGCUGCACAGUGACAUGAUGGGUGUAGCAUAGGUGGAAGGUGAGUGCCAGAGCUCUCAGAGCCCACAUCAGCCAAGAAAGGGAUAACUGGACCAUUCAGCCAACAGCCAAGAAAGAAGGGAUAACUGGACCAUUCAUCCAACAGCCAAGGGAACAAGAGAAUACUGGUGCAAGCCUGCAGUGAAAUACCACUACCUUCAUCGUCGCUUUGCUCAUGGAGUUGCCAGGGUACAGUGGCCCAUUGAGACUAGGCUGCCUCUUUUACAGGGGCAAGCCUUGGCCAAUCUCAAGCAUUCGUGCACAAAGCACUCAGCCCUCAUUGUACUGCUCCAUACAGUGUUGAUUGUCUCUUGUCCUCUGUUGGCAAGUUGCCUUCUCACUGUGAGCAGAUGUUUGAGAUUAGUUGCGAGUGUGACCCUGGGCUAAUCACUGAUCCCCACAAGAGAUUUGGGCCUCCAGACACAGAGCAGACUGGGAGUUUGGCUGGGGCGGCACGCCUUUCACAAGGCAACGAAGGCGUCCUGAAGCAAGGCUCAGAUGGGACAGAAACCUAUCAGAGAGGAGCAGGCCAAAGGCCUUGCUGAUGCUGUGACUCUCAGUAGAAGUCCGAAACAUGAAAGUGUGGCCUAUCGAUCCUUUGAGAUCAUUGCACGAGUUUGGGAUAUCAAAGCCAGAGGUGUCAGAAAAAUUACCACAGGGAUAACUGGCUUGUGGCUGCCAAGCGUUCAAAGCGACGUAGCUUUUUGAUCCUUCGAUGUCGGCUCUUCCUAGCUUC